Molecule: long non-coding RNA, 1057 nt
Organism: Ictalurus punctatus (channel catfish)
Lineage: Eukaryota; Metazoa; Chordata; Actinopteri; Siluriformes; Ictaluridae
Source: Ensembl
AGCCGGUGGCACAAACUCUCCAGCCAAGCCAAAGGCCUAUGCCAAGGUUUCUUCUGUCCAGCUUGAGGCUUGGACAGAGGUCUCUUCUGUCUAGCUUCAGGCCUGCGCCAAGGUCUCUUCUGUGUAGCUUCAGGUCUGCGCCAAGGUCCCUUCUGUCCAGUUUGAGGCCUGCACCGAGGUCUCUUCUAUACGGCUUGAGGCCUACACAGAGGUCUCUUCUAUACGGCUUGAGGCCUACACAGAGGUCUCUUCUGUCCAGCUUGAGGCCUGCACCGUGGUCUCUUUUGUCCAGCUUUAGGUUUACACCGAGGUCUCUUCUGUCCAGCCUGAGGCAUGCACCGAGAUUUGUCCUGUCCAGCCUGAGGUUUGUGCCGAGGUCUCUUCUAUACGGCUUGAGGCCUACACAGAGGUCUCUUCUGUCCAGCUUGAGGCCUGCACCGAGGUCUCUUCUGUCCAGCCUGAGGCAUGCACCGAGAUCUGUCCUGUCCAGCCUGAGGUUUGUGCCGAGGUGUCUUCUGUUCAGCUUUAGGUUUGUGCCGUGGUCUCUUCUGUUCAAUCCAGUCUACCAGUCGACUCUGGAGAGACGAGCUCUGACCCUUAAGAAGAUUCGUGUUCUCCACCUCAUGACUCCGACAAAGACGUUGUUGCUCUGCUCCUGACUCUGACAAGGACGUCAUCCCACCUCCUGAUGACUUGAUGGAUGACAUCGUUAUAGUUCUGCCCCAUGUGGACGUACUAUAUGACCUGACCAGCUGGCAUGCUGAUUUACCAAGCCCCCUAACUCCUGCCAUGAGUAACCAGCCUGCUGGUAUCCCAAGCUCCAUGUCUCCUGUUGUGACCAGCUGGCUUGCUGAUUUCCCAAGUCAUCCCUCUGUCUCCUCCUGACUCCGCAGUGGACAUCAUUGUCCCCACACCUCCUUCCACCAGCAAGGAGAUCUUUGCUCCAUGGUCCUCUACCUCCACGCACUAUCUGGACAUUGUCUGCCUCAUCAUGGUUUGUUUCAAUAGCCAUGUGCGCUAUGUUUUCACUUCCUGGUCCUCUCUCCACCCUUAUUGU